RNAcentral lists this unclassified non-coding RNA (213 nucleotides) under Streptococcus mitis B6. Its description in RNAcentral is "6S RNA". The record is from RNAcentral. Lineage: Bacteria; Bacillati; Bacillota; Bacilli; Lactobacillales; Streptococcaceae.
UAUAAACAUAGAAACGCUGUGGUGUACGACUUCACACUUAAGUGUUGACCGACUAUUUUUUGUAUUAUUAGGGAAACAAAAGUCUUCUAACAGCAUGUAGGCCGUCUCACACGGAAACAGCUUCAGUUAGAGCGAGUUGCCCACCUGCUUAAUUGCGCGGGUUCAAUACAAACCGUGAAGUUUCGGCACCAAUACAGCUUUUUUAUUUGCCUC